Molecule: ribosomal RNA, 231 nt
Filed under: uncultured bacterium
Lineage: Bacteria
Description: partial 16S ribosomal RNA
Rfam family: Bacterial small subunit ribosomal RNA
Source: RNAcentral
GAUCCUGGCUCAGGACGAACGCUGGCGGCAUGCUUAACACAUGCAAGUCGAACGGAGCACCCUUGAAUGAGGUUUCGGCCAAAGGAAAGGAAUGCUUAGUGGCGGACUGGUGAGUAACGCGUGAGGAACCUGCCUUUCAGAGGGGGACAACAGCUGGAAACGGCUGCUAAUACCGCAUGACGCAUUCGGAUGGCAUCAUCUGAAUGCCAAAGAUUUAUCGCUGAAAGAUGG